This 301-nucleotide ribosomal RNA is filed under the name uncultured bacterium. RNAcentral's name for it is "partial 16S ribosomal RNA". It matches the Rfam family "Bacterial small subunit ribosomal RNA", at positions 509 to 807 of the family's 1533-position model. The record is from RNAcentral.
CAGUCGCCACGGGAAUACGUAGGGUCCGAGCGUUGUCCGGAAUUACUGGGCGUAAAGAGCUCGUAGGUGGUUUGUCGCGUUGUUCGUGAAAACUCACAGCUCAACUGUGGGCGUGCGGGCGAUACGGGCAGACUGGAGUACUGCAGGGGAGACUGGAAUUCCUGGUGUAGCGGUGGAAUGCGCAGAUAUCAGGAGGAACACCGGUGGCGAAGGCGGGUCUCUGGGCAGUAACUGACGCUGAGGAGCGAAAGCGUGGGGAGCGAACAGGAUUAGAUACCCCAGUAGUCCCUGUCUCUUAUAC